UGGGGAAUAUUGGACAAUGGGGGCAACCCUGAUCCAGCCAUGCCGCGUGAGUGAAGAAGGCCCUAGGGUUGUAAAGCUCUUUCAGGUGUGAGGAUGAUGACAGUAGCACCAGAAGAAGCCCCGGCUAACUUCGUGCCAGCAGCCGCGGUAAUACGAAGGGGGCUAGCGUUGUUCGGAUUUACUGGGCGUAAAGGGCGUGUAGGCGGACGAUCAAGCUAGGGGUGAAAGCCCAGGGCCCAACCCUGGAACUGCCCUUAGAACUGGUUGUCUAGAAUCCGUAAGGGGAGUGUGGAAUUCCUAGUGUAGAGGUGAAAUUCGUAGAUAUUAGGAAGAACACCAGUGGCGAAGGCGGCACUCUGGUACGGUAUUGACGCUGAGGCGCGAAAGCGUGGGGAGCAAACAGG
This 404-nucleotide ribosomal RNA is filed under the name uncultured bacterium. Its description in RNAcentral is "bacterial SSU rRNA". It matches the Rfam family "Bacterial small subunit ribosomal RNA", at positions 355 to 776 of the family's 1533-position model. The record is from RNAcentral.